Molecule: long non-coding RNA, 507 nt
Organism: Bubalus bubalis (water buffalo)
Lineage: Eukaryota; Metazoa; Chordata; Mammalia; Artiodactyla; Bovidae
Exons: 3
Source: RefSeq, a predicted model, not a curated record
UCAGUUAAGUCUUUCUUUCCUGGGAUAAGCAUCCAGCCUGACACACAGUAGGUGCUCAACUAAUUUCAUUUUCUCUAGGUCUCCGGGCCCGCGGGACCCCGCAGGAUGACACAUGGGCGUUGCACGUGCCAUCAGGAGGGGCCGCGGAGUCACCUUGGCCUAAGCGCGCCUGAAUGGAGGUCUGCGCGACACGCAGUGGUCUCCUGCUGAUGGGGCUGUUUGAAGAAGAGGAAAGCAGGGUAGUGGAAGCCAAGCCAAGCCAGCCGUACAGAACCCCAGCUUCAGCCCCAUGCAGAUGAACCAUGAGCCUCACUCUGCACACCAAAUGUGCUUCUGUAAAGUUGUGCAUAAGCCAAAUUUGUUGUACUUCACAUCUUACAUUCCAUCUUGGUUCCAUGAUCCCUAUGAACUUCUUGCAGAAAUUUGCCUCUAAGUAUGGCCACUUACCGGAGAAGGCGAUGGCACCCCACUCCAGUACUCUUGCCUGAAAAAUCCCAUGGAUGGAGG